Molecule: ribosomal RNA, 465 nt
Filed under: uncultured bacterium
Lineage: Bacteria
Description: partial 16S ribosomal RNA
Rfam family: Bacterial small subunit ribosomal RNA
Source: RNAcentral
GAUGAACGCUGGCGGCGGGCUUAACACAUGCAAGUCGAACGGAAAGGCUCCUGCUUGCAGGGGUACUCGAGUGGCGAACGGGUGAGUAACACGUGGGUGAUCUGCCCUGCACUUCGGGAUAAGCCUGGGAAACUGGGUCUAAUACCGGAUAGGACCACAUUUUGGAUGGUGUGGUGGAAAGUUUUUCGGUGUGGGAUGAGCUCGCGGCCUAUCAGCUUGUUGGUGGGGUAAUGGCCUACCAAGGCGUCGACGGGUAGCCGGCCUGAGAGGGUGUACGGCCACAUUGGGACUGAGAUACGGCCCAGACUCCUACGGGAGGCAGCAGUGGGGAAUAUUGCACAAUGGGCGCAAGCCUGAUGCAGCGACGCCGCGUGGGGGAUGACGGCCUUCGGGUUGUAAACUCCUUUCGCUAGGGACGAAGCGCAAGUGAUGGUACCUGGAGAAGAAGCACCGGCUAACUACGUG